This 1434-nucleotide ribosomal RNA is filed under the name uncultured organism. RNAcentral's name for it is "SSU rRNA". It matches the Rfam family "Bacterial small subunit ribosomal RNA". The record is from RNAcentral.
CUAACUACAGGCUUAACACAUGCAAGUCGAGGGGCAUCAGGAAGAAAGCUUGCUUUCUUUGCUGGCGACCGGCGCACGGGUGAGUAACACGUAUCCAACCUGCCCUUUACUCGGGGAUAGCCUUUCGAAAGAAAGAUUAAUACCCGAUGGCAUAAUGAUUCCGCAUGGUUUCAUUAUUAAAGGAUUCCGGUAAAGGAUGGGGAUGCGUUCCAUUAGGUUGUUGGUGAGGUAACGGCUCACCAAGCCUUCGAUGGAUAGGGGUUCUGAGAGGAAGGUCCCCCACAUUGGAACUGAGACACGGUCCAAACUCCUACGGGAGGCAGCAGUGAGGAAUAUUGGUCAAUGGGCGCUAGCCUGAACCAGCCAAGUAGCGUGAAGGAUGAAGGCUCUAUGGGUCGUAAACUUCUUUUAUAUAAGAAUAAAGUGCAGUAUGUAUACUGUUUUGUAUGUAUUAUAUGAAUAAGGAUCGGCUAACUCCGUGCCAGCAGCCGCGGUAAUACGGAGGAUCCGAGCGUUAUCCGGAUUUAUUGGGUUUAAAGGGAGCGUAGGUGGACUGGUAAGUCAGUUGUGAAAGUUUGCGGCUCAACCGUAAAAUUGCAGUUGAUACUGUCAGUCUUGAGUACAGUAGAGGUGGGCGGAAUUCGUGGUGUAGCGGUGAAAUGCUUAGAUAUCACGAAGAACUCCGAUUGCGAAGGCAGCUCACUGGACUGCAACUGACACUGAUGCUCGAAAGUGUGGGUAUCAAACAGGAUUAGAUACCCUGGUAGUCCACACAGUAAACGAUGAAUACUCGCUGUUUGCGAUAUACAGUAAGCGGCCAAGCGAAAGCAUUAAGUAUUCCACCUGGGGAGUACGCCGGCAACGGUGAAACUCAAAGGAAUUGACGGGGGCCCGCACAAGCGGAGGAACAUGUGGUUUAAUUCGAUGAUACGCGAGGAACCUUACCCGGGCUUAAAUUGCAGUGGAAUGAUGUGGAAACAUGUCAGUGAGCAAUCACCGCUGUGAAGGUGCUGCAUGGUUGUCGUCAGCUCGUGCCGUGAGGUGUCGGCUUAAGUGCCAUAACGAGCGCAACCCUUAUCUUUAGUUACUAACAGGUUAUGCUGAGGACUCUAGAGAGACUGCCGUCGUAAGAUGUGAGGAAGGUGGGGAUGACGUCAAAUCAGCACGGCCCUUACGUCCGGGGCUACACACGUGUUACAAUGGGGGGGUACAGAAGGCAGCUAGCGGGUGACCGUAUGCUAAUCCCAAAAUCCUCUCUCAGUUCGGAUCGAAGUCUGCAACCCGACUUCGUGAAGCUGGAUUCGCUAGUAAUCGCGCAUCAGCCACGGCGCGGUGAAUACGUUCCCGGGCCUUGUACACACCGCCCGUCAAGCCAUGGGAGCCGGGGGUACCUGAAGUACGUAACCGCAAGGAUCGUCCUAGGGUAAAACUGGA